This 75-nucleotide transfer RNA is filed under the name Kamptonema sp. FACHB-857. RNAcentral describes it as "Nostoc sp. FACHB-857 tRNA-Leu". It matches the Rfam family "tRNA". Rfam says of the family: Transfer RNA (tRNA) molecules are approximately 80 nucleotides in length. Their secondary structure includes four short double-helical elements and three loops (D, anti-codon, and T loops). Further hydrogen bonds mediate the characteristic L-shaped molecular structure. tRNAs have two regions of fundamental functional importance: the anti-codon, which is responsible for specific mRNA codon recognition, and the 3' end, to which the tRNAs corresponding amino acid is attached (by aminoacyl-tRNA synthetases). tRNAs cope with the degeneracy of the genetic code in two manners: having more than one tRNA (with a specific anti-codon) for a particular amino acid; and 'wobble' base-pairing, i.e. permitting non-standard base-pairing at the 3rd anti-codon position. Lineage: Bacteria; Bacillati; Cyanobacteriota; Cyanophyceae; Oscillatoriales; Microcoleaceae. RNAcentral also lists the same sequence under 1 other name. The record is from RNAcentral.
GCUCCUGUAGCCCAAUUGGAAGAGGUAGCAGACUUAAAAUCUGUUUCGUUGUGGGUUCGACUCCCACCAGGAGUA